GUAGGGGGCAAGCGUUGUCCGGAAUCAUUGGGCGUAAAGCGCGCGUAGGCGGCCCGGUAAGUCCGCUGUAAAAGUCAAGGGCUCAACCCUUGAACGCCGGUGGAUACUGCCGGGCUAGAGUCCGGAAGAGGCGAGUGGAAUUCCUGGUGUAGCGGUGGAAUGCGCAGAUAUCAGGAGGAACACCAAUAGCGAAGGCAGCUCGCUGGGACGGUACUGACGCUGAGGCGCGAAAGCGUGGGGAGCGAACAGGAUUAGAUACCCUGGUAGUCCACGCCGUAAACGAUGGGCACUAGGUGUGGGAGGUGUCGACUCCUUCCGUGCCGUCGCUAACGCACUAAGUGCCCCGCCUGGGGAGUACGGCCGCAAGGCUAAA
Molecule: ribosomal RNA, 373 nt
Filed under: uncultured bacterium
Lineage: Bacteria
Description: bacterial SSU rRNA
Rfam family: Bacterial small subunit ribosomal RNA
Source: RNAcentral